UUUCAUUCUGUGUCAGAAACCUAUGCUGUGUCAACUAUUUAAUUUUAGAUUUAAAAAGUUUGAAGAAGAAAUCUUUAAUUGAUUUGUAAAAUCUUGACAUUUGUUUUGUGUAAAAAAAAAAACCAUGUUAUGUCAAAAAUUUGAUCACAAUCCAAAUUCAGAGCUGUAUCACGCUUGAAUGUUUUGUCCAUACUUGCCCCAACUGUUCAGGGUUCGACCUCUGCGGUCGUAUAAAGCUGCGCCCUGCGGAGCACCUGGUUAAAAUUUG
This 268-nucleotide long non-coding RNA is filed under the name Mytilus galloprovincialis (Mediterranean mussel). The record is from RNAcentral. Lineage: Eukaryota; Metazoa; Mollusca; Bivalvia; Mytilida; Mytilidae.